RNAcentral lists this transfer RNA (76 nucleotides) under Verrucomicrobiota bacterium. RNAcentral's name for it is "Verrucomicrobia bacterium (freshwater metagenome) tRNA-Thr". It matches the Rfam family "tRNA". Rfam says of the family: Transfer RNA (tRNA) molecules are approximately 80 nucleotides in length. RNAcentral also lists the same sequence under 1 other name. Lineage: Bacteria; Pseudomonadati; Verrucomicrobiota. The record is from RNAcentral.
GCCGACGUAGCUCAGUUGGUAGAGCAGUCGAUUCGUAAUCGACAGGUCACCAGUUCAACUCUGGUCGUCGGCUCCA